Solanum lycopersicum (tomato) is the source of this 494-nucleotide non-coding RNA. NCBI's taxonomy places the organism in Eukaryota, Viridiplantae, Streptophyta, Magnoliopsida, Solanales, Solanaceae. The record is from RefSeq and is a predicted model, not a curated record.
CCUCCAGUUGCGUUGAGCCGCUCCCUGAUAAUAACAAUAAUUUUCAAAAAAAUAUUGUGUUAUGAUGUGAAAAUAAUGCAUUCUGAGUAUUUCAUUAUAAAAAAUAAUAAAUUUGUGAUAGUAUUUGGAAAUUUAUAGCCAAUAACUUUAUGUUUUCAUAAAAACAAUUUCAAGAGUAUUACAAAAAGGAAACGUGUUUGUGGAGUUGGGUGGAUGAGUUAUAAGUAUUUUGUUGAGCAAUAGUCUCCGCAAUUGGAAGGAUGGGCCAGAUUCUGUAAAAAUUCAAAGGUAAGCAGUGGAGAGAGACACAAAUACACAAAAUAACAGACAAUGUCUUUGAUCGUGUCAGAAUUGAUUCAGGAAGAGAAAAUCUCAAGUUUGAAGACCUUUAUAUUGCUGUACUACUUGUUUUCAAUGAUAUCAAUAAACGUUUGCCGGGUCCUCAUUUUGAUCCUCCUACAAAACAUCAAGUUAGAGUCCUGAUGCAGGUAUGU